UGUGUAGGCGGCCGAUUAAGUAGGGUGUGAAAUGCCUGGGCUCAACCGAGGCACGGCGCUCUAAACUGGUCGGCUUGAGUGAGAUAGGGGUGUGCGGAACUUCCAGUGGAGCGGUGAAAUGUGUUGAUAUUGGAAGGAACACCGGUGGCGAAAGCGGCACACUGGGUCUCAACUGACGCUGAGACACGAAAGCCAGGGUAGCGAACG
RNAcentral lists this ribosomal RNA (207 nucleotides) under uncultured bacterium. RNAcentral describes it as "partial 16S ribosomal RNA". It matches the Rfam family "Bacterial small subunit ribosomal RNA", at positions 568 to 774 of the family's 1533-position model. The record is from RNAcentral.